Molecule: ribosomal RNA, 611 nt
Filed under: uncultured Actinomycetes bacterium
Lineage: Bacteria; Bacillati; Actinomycetota; Actinomycetes
Description: bacterial SSU rRNA
Rfam family: Bacterial small subunit ribosomal RNA
Source: RNAcentral
CAGCUUGUUGGUGAGGUUAUGGCUUACCAAGGCGACGACGGGUAGCCGGCCUGAGAGGGUGUCCGGCCACACUGGGACUGAGAUACGGCCCAGACUCCUACGGGAGGCAGCAGUGGGGAAUAUUGCACAAUGGGCGCAAGCCUGAUGCAGCGACGCCGCGUGGGGGAUGACGGCCUUCGGGUUGUAAACCUCUUUCAGCUAUGACGAAGCGCAAGUGACGGUAGUAGCAGAAGAAGCACCGGCCAACUACGUGCCAGCAGCCGCGGUAAUACGUAGGGUGCGAGCGUUGUCCGGAAUUACUGGGCGUAAAGAGCUCGUAGGUGGUUAGUCGCGUUGUUCGUGAAAACCUGAGGCUUAACCUUGGGCGUGCGGGCGAUACGGGCAGACUGGAGUACUGCAGGGGAGACUGGAAUUCCUGGUGUAGCGGUGGAAUGCGCAGAUAUCAGGAGGAACACCGGUGGCGAAGGCGGGUCUCUGGGCAGUAACUGACGCUGAGGAGCGAAAGCGUGGGGAGCGAACAGGAAUAGAUACCCUGGUAGUCCACGCCGUAAACGGUGGGUACUAGGUGUGGGUUUCCUUCCUUGGGAUCCGUGCCGUAGCUAACGCAUUAA